CUGCUUCGGCAGCAUAUAUACUGAAAAUGGAAUGACACAGGGAAGAUUAACAUGGCCCCUGUGCAAGGAUGACACACAAAUUCAUGAAGCAUUCCAUAUUUUU
Callithrix jacchus (white-tufted-ear marmoset) is the source of this 103-nucleotide small nuclear RNA. Lineage: Eukaryota; Metazoa; Chordata; Mammalia; Primates; Cebidae. The record is from Ensembl.